Molecule: ribosomal RNA, 505 nt
Filed under: uncultured bacterium
Lineage: Bacteria
Description: partial 16S ribosomal RNA
Rfam family: Bacterial small subunit ribosomal RNA
Source: RNAcentral
GACGAACGCUGGCGGCGUGCCUAAUACAUGCAAGUAGAACGCACAGUUUAUACCGUAGCUUGCUACACCAUAGACUGUGAGUUGCGAACGGGUGAGUAACGCGUAGGUAACCUGCCUGGUAGCGGGGGAUAACUAUUGGAAACGAUAGCUAAUACCGCAUAAUAUUGAUUAUUGCAUGAUAAUUGAUUGAAAGAUGCUAUUGCAUCACUACCAGAUGGACCUGCGUUGUAUUAGCUAGUAGGUGAGGUAACGGCUCACCUAGGCGACGAUACAUAGCCGACCUGAGAGGGUGAUCUGCCACACUGGGACUGAGACACGGCCCAGACUCCUACGGGAGGCAGCAGUAGGGAAUCUUCGGCAAUGGACGAAAGUCUGACCGAGCAACGCCGCGUGAGUGAAGAAGGGUUUCGGAUCGUGAAGCUCUGUUGUAAGAGAAGAACGGGUGUGAGAGUGGAAAGUUCACACUGUGACGGUAUCUUACCAGAAAGGGACGGCUAACUACGUG